This 95-nucleotide transfer RNA is filed under the name Datura stramonium (jimsonweed). RNAcentral's name for it is "tRNA-Tyr". It matches the Rfam family "tRNA". From Rfam's summary of the family: Transfer RNA (tRNA) molecules are approximately 80 nucleotides in length. Their secondary structure includes four short double-helical elements and three loops (D, anti-codon, and T loops). Further hydrogen bonds mediate the characteristic L-shaped molecular structure. tRNAs have two regions of fundamental functional importance: the anti-codon, which is responsible for specific mRNA codon recognition, and the 3' end, to which the tRNAs corresponding amino acid is attached (by aminoacyl-tRNA synthetases). tRNAs cope with the degeneracy of the genetic code in two manners: having more than one tRNA (with a specific anti-codon) for a particular amino acid; and 'wobble' base-pairing, i.e. permitting non-standard base-pairing at the 3rd anti-codon position. Lineage: Eukaryota; Viridiplantae; Streptophyta; Magnoliopsida; Solanales; Solanaceae. The record is from RNAcentral.
CCGACCUUAGCUCAGUUGGUAGAGCGGAAGACUGUAGUGGGGCGUAAGCCUUUCAGAUAAUCUUUAGGUCGCUGGUUCGAAUCCGGCAGGUCGGA